GACGAACGCUGGCGGCGUGCUUAACACAUGCAAGUCGAACGGAAAGGCCCUGCUUUUGUGGGGUGCUCGAGUGGCGAACGGGUGAGUAACACGUGAGUAACCUGCCCUUGACUUUGGGAUAACUUCAGGAAACUGGGGCUAAUACCGGAUAGGAGCUCCUGCUGCAUGGUGGGGGUUGGAAAGUUUCGGCGGUUGGGGAUGGGCUCGCGGCUUAUCAGCUUGUUGGUGGGGUAGUGGCUUACCAAGGCUUUGACGGGUAGCCGGCCUGAGAGGGUGACCGGCCACAUUGGGACUGAGAUACGGCCCAGACUCCUACGGGAGGCAGCAGUGGGGAAUAUUGCACAAUGGGCGGAAGCCUGAUGCAGCAACGCCGCGUGCGGGAUGACGGCCUUCGGGUUGUAAACCGCUUUCGCCUGUGACGAAGCGUGAGUGACGGCAAUGGGUAAAGAAGCACCGGCUAACUACGUG
Molecule: ribosomal RNA, 468 nt
Filed under: uncultured bacterium
Lineage: Bacteria
Description: partial 16S ribosomal RNA
Rfam family: Bacterial small subunit ribosomal RNA
Source: RNAcentral